CAAAUACAAAAUACAAAAAUACUUGCUCUCUCAGUCAAAGACAUUUCAAGUUUAGGGUUGGGUUUCUCAUUUCUUUCUCUUCGAGUUCGAUUCCUUCCACAACAGCUCCUCUCCUCCUUCUGUGACGACGAGACGAUGCCGGCGACAACAUCUCCUCUCCUCUCAAGUAGGCUUGCACAGUUAUGAUUUCCCUGUCUCACUCUCAUCUGGCUCUCUGUGGCUGGCUUUCUCUCAACCUCUCUGUGGCAGAAUGUGAGGGUUGGAAGCUUGAGAGUUGUUCAUUCUUGAUAAUGAUAUGGGACUUUAAAUUGAUGGCCUUGAGACUGCAUAUUGUUCAAACCAAAAGCACUGGGUUCUUGAAGGAAGAUGCUAGAAGAUGCUUGGUAUUGAAAAUGUAAUCUUCAUCAGCAUGAACUGAAACUACUCAGUACUGGCUUUUACAUUGGGAGAAUUCAUAAUAUUUUAUUCGAUAAAAAAAUACCUUGUGAAAUACAAUUGAAGCUAACGAAAAGCUAGGACUUCCCAACCCACUGAACAUGAAACUUCACUGCAAUCAAUGGUACCAUGCAUAUGAAGAGUCCUAAUUUACACGACUUCUAUAUCUUCUACAUGGGAAAGGGACUCACUCUUCUUCUUGUGCUUCUUAAUUUGAAAUUGGUUUUGAUUAUGUUUUUCAGUUAGGUAUUGUUUUGAUUUUGAUUUUGGAUUUGCAGGUAUUCCAACUAGCGGCCCAUCCACCCUUCCCAGCAUCUGAUAAGGGUUGGGGUAAAGAAUUAGGCCAAGUACAAGACUAAUAUACUAUUUUGGAGUCUAUUUAUUUGGCUACUUGAAUUUGUAAUAUUUUCAUUGUAUCUGGAGAUUGUAAUUUUUUUUUUAAUUAUACAUGAUGACUUAAGAUUAUAGAUUUAUAAUUAUUGGUUAUGUAGAGUGAAUGUAUUGAACAAUACUUUCAAUUACAUGAAUGAAGUUUAUGUUGGCUUUGAUAA
Prunus persica (peach) is the source of this 986-nucleotide long non-coding RNA. RefSeq lists it as uncharacterized. The record is from RefSeq and is a predicted model, not a curated record. The transcript has 5 exons. NCBI's taxonomy places the organism in Eukaryota, Viridiplantae, Streptophyta, Magnoliopsida, Rosales, Rosaceae.